This is a long non-coding RNA of Ipomoea nil (Japanese morning glory), 479 nucleotides long. RefSeq lists it as uncharacterized. The record is from RefSeq and is a predicted model, not a curated record. The transcript has 3 exons. Lineage: Eukaryota; Viridiplantae; Streptophyta; Magnoliopsida; Solanales; Convolvulaceae.
GCUCGAGGGUUUUGCCAAUCCAGCUUUAAUAGUGUAUGGUGUACAUGUUGAGCUUGUUUGGUCUCAAGCUACUUCUGGCAGUUAUAUACAAUACAGGCUAUUAUGUAUUAGCGGUAUAUAUGGUGAGAAUCCAUCAGACCAUUUGAAGGAAGACGAUAAUCUCUCAAAUCAAUGUGGUGUAGGCUCUUUAAAACGGAAAAUUUAUGGUGGUAUUUUGGAUAUAAACAGCUUAAAGAUGCUCAAGAGAAAAGAGAUGUAUUUUUUGUCCUCUGUUUUCUGAUUCAUAACACUAAGCCAGUUGGCCACCAGGAUCUUGUUGGGCUGGUCAUCUCAAUGCUGUUACUUAGAGAUUUUAGCUUAGUGCUGCUUACAUUCCUCCAGUUGUAUUCAGUAUCUCUCUUCAUUGUCACUUUUUUUUAUUAAUAAAUUUAUUAGUCUAGGAUACAUUGGCUAGGAAUAAUUUCUAUGUAUUUGUGCUA